AUUCUUUACGGUAAGAGCAGUGAGACUAUGGAGCUCUCUGCCUGAGGAGGUGGAUGAUAAAGGGAUAAUCAUAUGUCAGGACACAUGAGGUCCAGAGCUCUGGAAUAGACAAAGGCGCAUUACCACAGCGCAGGUCACCAGCAUCACCGCGCCUCUGGCGGAACU
This is a long non-coding RNA of Bufo bufo (common toad), 165 nucleotides long. RefSeq lists it as uncharacterized. The transcript is spliced from 3 exons. The record is from RefSeq and is a predicted model, not a curated record. Lineage: Eukaryota; Metazoa; Chordata; Amphibia; Anura; Bufonidae.